This 89-nucleotide small nucleolar RNA is filed under the name Schizosaccharomyces pombe (fission yeast). RNAcentral's name for it is "snR86 small nucleolar RNA". Lineage: Eukaryota; Fungi; Ascomycota; Schizosaccharomycetes; Schizosaccharomycetales; Schizosaccharomycetaceae. The record is from RNAcentral.
UAUUGUGAUGACAAAAGAAGAAGCUUAACAUUUUAUAUAGGAAGUGCCGUCUGAGAGUUCUGCUCGGUGACCAAGCUAAUUCAUUCUGA